Molecule: ribosomal RNA, 496 nt
Filed under: uncultured bacterium
Lineage: Bacteria
Description: partial 16S ribosomal RNA
Rfam family: Bacterial small subunit ribosomal RNA
Source: RNAcentral
GACGAACGCUGGCGGCGUGCCUAAUACAUGCAAGUAGAACGCUGAAGAGAGGAGCUUACUCUUCUUGGAUGAGUUGCGAACGGGUGAGUAACGCGUAGGUAACCUGCCUUGUAGCGGGGGAUAACUAUUGGAAACGAUAGCUAAUACCGCAUAACAAUGGAUGACACAUGUCAUUUAUUUGAAAGGGGCAAUUGCUCCACUACAAGAUGGACCUGCGUUGUAUUAGCUAGUAGGUGAGGUAAUGGCUCACCUAGGCGACGAUACAUAGCCGACCUGAGAGGGUGAUCGGCCACACUGGGACUGAGACACGGCCCAGACUCCUACGGGAGGCAGCAGUAGGGAAUCUUCGGCAAUGGGGCAACCCUGACCGAGCAACGCCGCGUGAGUGAAGAAGGUUUUCGGAUCGUAAAGCUCUGUUGUAAGUCAAGAACGGGUGUGAGAGUGGAAAGUUCACACUGUGACGGUAGCUUACCAGAAAGAGACGGCUAACUACGUG